UACGUAGGGUGCAAGCGUUAAUCGGAAUUACUGGGCGUAAAGCGUGCGCAGGCGGCUUUGCAAGACAGAUGUGAAAUCCCCCGGCUUAACCUGGGAACUGCGUCUGAUACUGGGAGGCUUGAGUAUGGGAGAGGGAUGUAGAAUUCCAGGUGUAGCGGUGAAAUGCGUAGAUAUCUGGAGGAAUACCGGUGGCGAAGGCGGCAUCCUGGACCAUUACUGACGCUGAGGCGCGAAAGCUAGGGGAGCAAACGGG
This 253-nucleotide ribosomal RNA is filed under the name uncultured bacterium. RNAcentral's name for it is "partial 16S ribosomal RNA". It matches the Rfam family "Bacterial small subunit ribosomal RNA", at positions 524 to 776 of the family's 1533-position model. The record is from RNAcentral.